Molecule: ribosomal RNA, 497 nt
Filed under: uncultured bacterium
Lineage: Bacteria
Description: partial 16S ribosomal RNA
Rfam family: Bacterial small subunit ribosomal RNA
Source: RNAcentral
GAUGAACGCUGGCGGCGUGCCUAAUACAUGCAAGUCGAGCGAACAGACGAGGAGCUUGCUCCUCUAACGUUAGCGGCGGACGGGUGAGUAACACGUGGAUAACCUACCUAUAAGACUGGGAUAACUUCGGGAAACCGGAGCUAAUACCGGAUAAUAUAUUGAACCGCAUGGUUCAAUAGUGAAAGACGGUUUUGCUGUCACUUAUAGAUGGAUCCGCGCCGCAUUAGCUAGUUGGUAAGGUAACGGCUUACCAAGGCGACGAUGCGUAGCCGACCUGAGAGGGUGAUCGGCCACACUAGAACUGAGACACGGUCCAGACUCCUACGGGAGGCAGCAGUAGGGAAUCUUCCGCAAUGGGCGAAAGCCUGACGGAGCAACGCCGCGUGAGUGAUGAAGGUCUUCGGAUCGUAAAACUCUGUUAUUAGGGAAGAACAAAUGUGUAAGUAACUAUGCACGUCUUGACGGUACCUAAUCAGAAAGCCACGGCUAACUACGUG